Diabrotica virgifera virgifera (western corn rootworm) is the source of this 723-nucleotide long non-coding RNA. RefSeq lists it as uncharacterized. NCBI's taxonomy places the organism in Eukaryota, Metazoa, Arthropoda, Insecta, Coleoptera, Chrysomelidae. The record is from RefSeq and is a predicted model, not a curated record. The transcript is spliced from 2 exons.
CAAACGUCACAUCUUUGCUAUUUUAUUUUCAAAUAAUUAUUUUAUUCUAUUUUCUUUAAUAAUUCUUUAAUAAUAAUCCUCUUCUAUUUGUUUUACCUUUUUUCCCGUUAAAAAUUGGUUGGCGCCCUCUUUCGGUAUUUAUAGGCAUAUCUCAACAUUCUUGUUCUAUCUCAGAAUUCACAUUCUUAUUCAAUCGUUCUGUGGUUCAUGACAGUGACUUCGCACUGUCGUUUCUCUUUCAAAUUUUAAGCCCCACUCACCAACUCUGUCAAUGUCAAGUGAACCCUUCUCUUUGUCAAAAUGAAGAAUAUUUUUUAUUUUAAUUCUAAAAUCUACUUAAGGCAAUGUCUGGCCUCAUAGCCACAUUUUCAAACAGACGUUCUUAAUUGGGUUUUCUGGACAAAUAAGAAUCUUCACCGGACAACCCUUCACCUCGUGGGAGGACUCCCUGAACCUGGAGCCCCCAAUAUCGCCGGCGAUGCUACAGUAAUUUAGCAUAGACACCACACCAUCAACCAACACCUGUAGGCCUGGUGGCCAGAACAUCCACGUCGCCAGAGCCCGUUGCAGAACAACAGCAAGACACCAAGAACCUGCAGACAGAUACCAAGUGCCAUCGAUAAGUAUAAUCUCUGAUCUGUAAAGUUUCGGCAAGGUCUUUUAAAUUAUUUUUUUUAAUACAUUAAUUAUGUCUUUUAUGAAAAAUAAACAUGAUUAGUUAAA